This 2927-nucleotide ribosomal RNA is filed under the name Enterobacter cloacae complex sp. FDA-CDC-AR_0164. RNAcentral's name for it is "bacterial LSU rRNA". It matches the Rfam family "Bacterial large subunit ribosomal RNA". The record is from RNAcentral. Lineage: Bacteria; Pseudomonadati; Pseudomonadota; Gammaproteobacteria; Enterobacterales; Enterobacteriaceae.
GGGUUGUGAGGUUAAGCGACUAAGCGUACACGGUGGAUGCCCUGGCAGUCAGAGGCGAUGAAGGACGUGCUAAUCUGCGAAAAGCGCCGGCGAGGUGAUAUGAACCUUUGACCCGGCGAUGUCCGAAUGGGGAAACCCAGUGUGUUCCGACACACUAUCGUUAACUGAAUACAUAGGUUAACGAGGCGAACCGGGGGAACUGAAACAUCUAAGUACCCCGAGGAAAAGAAAUCAACCGAGAUUCCCCCAGUAGCGGCGAGCGAACGGGGAGCAGCCCAGAGUCUGAAUCAGCUUGUGUGUUAGUGGAAGCGUCUGGAAAGUCGCACGGUACAGGGUGACAGUCCCGUACACGAAAGCACACAGGCUGUGAACUCGAAGAGUAGGGCGGGACACGUGGUAUCCUGUCUGAAUAUGGGGGGACCAUCCUCCAAGGCUAAAUACUCCUGACUGACCGAUAGUGAACCAGUACCGUGAGGGAAAGGCGAAAAGAACCCCGGCGAGGGGAGUGAAAAAGAACCUGAAACCGUGUACGUACAAGCAGUGGGAGCCUCUUUAUGGGGUGACUGCGUACCUUUUGUAUAAUGGGUCAGCGACUUAUAUUCUGUAGCAAGGUUAACCGUAUAGGGGAGCCGAAGGGAAACCGAGUCUUAACUGGGCGUUAAGUUGCAGGGUAUAGACCCGAAACCCGGUGAUCUAGCCAUGGGCAGGUUGAAGGUUGGGUAACACUAACUGGAGGACCGAACCGACUAAUGUUGAAAAAUUAGCGGAUGACUUGUGGCUGGGGGUGAAAGGCCAAUCAAACCGGGAGAUAGCUGGUUCUCCCCGAAAGCUAUUUAGGUAGCGCCUCGUGAACUCAUCUUCGGGGGUAGAGCACUGUUUCGGCUAGGGGGCCAUCCCGGCUUACCAACCCGAUGCAAACUACGAAUACCGAAGAAUGUUAUCACGGGAGACACACGGCGGGUGCUAACGUCCGUCGUGAAGAGGGAAACAACCCAGACCGCCAGCUAAGGUCCCAAAGUCAUGGUUAAGUGGGAAACGAUGUGGGAAGGCACAGACAGCCAGGAUGUUGGCUUAGAAGCAGCCAUCAUUUAAAGAAAGCGUAAUAGCUCACUGGUCGAGUCGGCCUGCGCGGAAGAUGUAACGGGGCUAAACCAUGCACCGAAGCUGCGGCAGCGACGCUUAUGCGUUGUUGGGUAGGGGAGCGUUCUGUAAGCCGUUGAAGGUGUCCUGUGAGGGGUGCUGGAGGUAUCAGAAGUGCGAAUGCUGACAUAAGUAACGAUAAAGCGGGUGAAAAGCCCGCUCGCCGGAAGACCAAGGGUUCCUGUCCAACGUUAAUCGGGGCAGGGUGAGUCGACCCCUAAGGCGAGGCCGAAAGGCGUAGUCGAUGGGAAACAGGUUAAUAUUCCUGUACUUGGUGUUACUGCGAAGGGGGGACGGAGAAGGCUAUGUUAGCCGGGCGACGGUUGUCCCGGUUUAAGCAUGUAGGCGGAGGUUCCAGGUAAAUCCGGUACCUUAUUAACGCUGAGGUGUGAUGACGAGGCACUACGGUGCUGAAGUAACAAAUGCCCUGCUUCCAGGAAAAGCCUCUAAGCAUCAGGUAACAUCAAAUCGUACCCCAAACCGACACAGGUGGUCAGGUAGAGAAUACCAAGGCGCUUGAGAGAACUCGGGUGAAGGAACUAGGCAAAAUGGUGCCGUAACUUCGGGAGAAGGCACGCUGAUAUGUAGGUGAAGCCCCUGCGGGUGGAGCUGAAAUCAGUCGAAGAUACCAGCUGGCUGCAACUGUUUAUUAAAAACACAGCACUGUGCAAACACGAAAGUGGACGUAUACGGUGUGACGCCUGCCCGGUGCCGGAAGGUUAAUUGAUGGGGUUAGCGGCAACGCGAAGCUCUUGAUCGAAGCCCCGGUAAACGGCGGCCGUAACUAUAACGGUCCUAAGGUAGCGAAAUUCCUUGUCGGGUAAGUUCCGACCUGCACGAAUGGCGUAAUGAUGGCCAGGCUGUCUCCACCCGAGACUCAGUGAAAUUGAACUCGCUGUGAAGAUGCAGUGUACCCGCGGCAAGACGGAAAGACCCCGUGAACCUUUACUAUAGCUUGACACUGAACACUGGUCCUUGAUGUGUAGGAUAGGUGGGAGGCUUUGAAGCGUGGACGCCAGUCUGCGUGGAGCCAACCUUGAAAUACCACCCUUUAAUGGCUGGUGUUCUAACGUAGACCCGUAAUCCGGGUUGCGGACAGUGUCUGGUGGGUAGUUUGACUGGGGCGGUCUCCUCCCAAAGAGUAACGGAGGAGCACGAAGGUUAGCUAAUCCUGGUCGGACAUCAGGAGGUUAGUGCAAUGGCAUAAGCUAGCUUGACUGCGAGAGUGACGGCUCGAGCAGGUGCGAAAGCAGGUCAUAGUGAUCCGGUGGUUCUGAAUGGAAGGGCCAUCGCUCAACGGAUAAAAGGUACUCCGGGGAUAACAGGCUGAUACCGCCCAAGAGUUCAUAUCGACGGCGGUGUUUGGCACCUCGAUGUCGGCUCAUCACAUCCUGGGGCUGAAGUAGGUCCCAAGGGUAUGGCUGUUCGCCAUUUAAAGUGGUACGCGAGCUGGGUUUAGAACGUCGUGAGACAGUUCGGUCCCUAUCUGCCGUGGGCGCUGGAGAAUUGAGGGGGGCUGCUCCUAGUACGAGAGGACCGGAGUGGACGCAUCACUGGUGUUCGGGUUGUCAUGCCAAUGGCACUGCCCGGUAGCUAAAUGCGGAAGAGAUAAGUGCUGAAAGCAUCUAAGCACGAAACUUGCCCCGAGAUGAGUUCUCCCUGAGACUUUAAGUCUCCUGAAGGAACGUUGAAGACUACGACGUUGAUAGGUCGGGUGUGUAAGCGCAGCGAUGCGUUGAGCUAACCGAUACUAAUGAACCGUGAGGCUUAACCUUACAACGCCGAAG